UGGCCAGACUGGUUCAUGAUGAAAGAGAGGCAGCAGUGGCUCAAAUAAACACAUAUUUACAUCCCAGAACGCACAACAAGGAGAUGAGCUACAGCAGCAGAUGACCACAUCUCUGGAUGUGCAGAAUCAUUGACAAGACUCCUUUCAACACUUACGAGGGCCAACAGUGCCGCACACAGCACCUCCGCGGCCCAACAGCUGACUGUGAGGGCAGGGCAGAGUGACCUGGGCCUAUUAUUGCAACCAGGAGCAGACCCAUCAGUGAGGUGUAGAGGACAGACUGGGAGAUGUCAGCCGUCUCUCUCUGAAGACCGUUCUGAGACACCAAGGUUCGACACAGGGUCUCACAGGACCCGUCCACGUUGACAGCACUGGCUCCAGGCAUCCUAUUCUACUGGCAAAACCUCACACGUGUCUAUCAGCAGGGACCCGGAGCAGAUACAAGAAGAUUCCACAAAGAAAUGCAAGUUGUUCUUGCACCACAGACAGAGGAAGAUUCAACCCCUGGAUAUUUUUCUUCACAUGCAGGUGGGAGCAGCAGGAUGUGGUCAUAAAAAGUGUUGUCCUUUCUUUUCUGGAGGAAAACUUUAUUCACAGCUGAGAAAGAACAGGAAUAAUGUGUGAAUCAUUAUUGCCUGAGGGUAAAAUCCUCAUCUUGAGCCAUUUGGACAGAUGCAGUCUGACAGUCACCUCAAAAAACACAUUUUAUCCAAAUGUCCAGUGAUUAAAGGUGUAAAACUAUAAACUGAGCCCAGUUAAGAGUCGGUUAUAUAAACUGUCCUCUGCAAUAAGAAUGAUGCGAGAAGUAGUAAAAGCAAAUGAAUGCAUCGGUUUGGACUCACCUGCUCCUUUGCUCUGUUUGUAGACAAACAGUCCCAAGCAACUGUUCCCAUCGCCUGCUGAGCUGUUAAAAAUGCAUUAAGGGGACAUCUACUGUUUCACUGUAGGCUACAGCUGAAAAGGAGAGAGGGAGGAUAAUCAUCCCUAAUCUUUUCUAUGUAGAUCCGGUUGUCUAUAAUUAGACGUUACUCGGUGUAAUUCUCCACAAGUGCCACAAACAAGCUUUAACAUGGCAAAUUUAUAUAAUAAUAACAUCAUACAUUUCAGGGAUAGUUCAGUUUUUUUUUUUAAAUGUGGUCGUUAGAGGUACUGAUAUAUUCAUCACAUCCCUAUCUAUCAUAACUAUCAUAAGACAGACAUGAACAUGCUUCUCUCCAUUGACUUUGGUUCUGCAUGUGUUUACAAAGCAACACUAACCUCAGUCUCACAGCACCUGUCCCACAGGGCCUGAUGUCUCUUCUGCCAUCAGGUACAGGAGCCUCCGUGCUAAAUCAAAUCGGUGAUGCUGAACAGUUUCUCCCCGCAGGCAGGAUUAUAAAUGGAUUGUGACUAGUGCCCUUACCCGACCAGCUGAAUUAGCACAAAACGGCACUUCAAUGGCAAAACAAGUUGGUCCACACUGGCACUUUAGCAUAUAUGUUAUGUUCUUUUUUUAAAUGUUAUUUGUUUUAUCUUUUUUUUUUACCUAUUCUGAAUUGUGUUUUUCUGUGGUACUGUACGACAGGGGGAACGGAAUAAUAAUAAUGCACAAGAAAUGACAAUAAAGAAAAUAGGAAAACAUAUAUUUUAA
Long non-coding RNA from Solea solea (common sole), 1630 nucleotides. RefSeq lists it as uncharacterized. The record is from RefSeq and is a predicted model, not a curated record. Lineage: Eukaryota; Metazoa; Chordata; Actinopteri; Pleuronectiformes; Soleidae. The transcript is spliced from 2 exons.